Molecule: ribosomal RNA, 253 nt
Filed under: uncultured bacterium
Lineage: Bacteria
Description: partial 16S ribosomal RNA
Rfam family: Bacterial small subunit ribosomal RNA
Source: RNAcentral
UACGUAGGGUGCGAGCGUUGUCCGGAAUCAUUGGGCGUAAAGCGCACGUAGGCGGUCUGUUAUGUCGGAUGUGAAAGCCCUUGGCUUAACUGAGGAAGUGCAUCCGAAACUGGCAGGCUAGAGUACUAAAGAGGGUCGCGGAAUUCCCGGUGUAGAGGUGAAAUUCGUAGAUAUCGGGAGGAACACCGGUGGCGAAGGCGGCGACCUGGGUAGAUACUGACGCUGAGGUGCGAAAGCGUGGGGAGCAAACAGG